AACAUAAAGUUUUGGUCCUAAACUUGCUCUUGUUUUUUAUCAAAAUUAUACAUGCAAGCCUCCACACACCAGUGAGAAUGCCCAUACGUCCCUAAAUAGCCAGCUGGAGCAGGUAUCAGGAUACAAUAUCAACUUUUAGCCAAAGACACCUUGCAAUAGCCACACCCACACGGGCUUUCAGCAGUAAUUAACAUUAAAACAUGAGCGAAAGCUCGAUUAAGUUAUGAUAAACAUGGUCGGUAAAUUUCGUGCCAGCCACCGCGGUUAUACGAAAGAUCAAAAACAACAGCCAACGGCGUAAAGCGUGACUAGGAGCAACCUAAAUUAAAGGAAAACAACGGCCUAGUUGUAAAACACUACUGCACGUUAGAACCACAACAUAAAUGCCUUUAAACCACUUUACCUCACGAAAGCUAAGAAACAAACUGGGAUUAGACACCCCACUAUGCUUAGCCCUUAACACAGAUAGUACAAAUACAACACUAUCCGCCAGAGAACUACAAGCAAAAAGCUCGAAACUCUAAGGACUUGGCGGUGCUUCAAAUCAACCUAGAGGAGCCUGUCCUAUAAUCGAUACUCCCCGUUUCACCUUACCCCUUCUAGCCAAACAGCCUAUAUACCGCCGUCGCCAGCUCACCCUGUAAAAGAAACAAAGUGAGCAAAAAAGUUUUUUACUAACACGUCAGGUCAAGGUGUAGCACACGGAGGGGAAAGAGAUGGGCUACAUUUGCUCAAAGAGUAAAUACGAACAGUACACUGAAACACACACUUGAAGGCGGAUUUAGUAGUAAAAUAAAUAAGAAUAACUAUUUUAAACCUGCUCUGAAGCGCGCACACACCGCCCGUCACCCUCAUCACAUGUGACACAACACAAAAUAUUACACAACAGACACAGCUCAAAUGAGGU
This 907-nucleotide non-coding RNA is filed under the name Lerista parameles (Chillagoe fine-lined slider). Lineage: Eukaryota; Metazoa; Chordata; Lepidosauria; Squamata; Scincidae. The record is from RNAcentral.